RNAcentral lists this long non-coding RNA (1439 nucleotides) under Aquilegia coerulea. Its description in RNAcentral is "long non-coding RNA (ACOE_LNC001385)". Lineage: Eukaryota; Viridiplantae; Streptophyta; Magnoliopsida; Ranunculales; Ranunculaceae. The record is from RNAcentral.
AAAAAUAAAAUAAGAAAUGGAAUACCUUAUCAUUUCAACAAAUUAUUAUAUAUAGUAUAGACUAUUAUUCUCAAAAACAACAUGAUAUGUUAUGCAUUCCUCACUCAGAGGCUUCAACAAAAGUGAUACUUAUUUUAUUCUUAUGACAGAAUCAGUGAAGUUCUUCAUAUAGGCUGUAUUUGUAAUGUUUGAAGAUCAAUAAUGGGCUCCAAAUAAUUUCUUGAGGCUUCAAUAAAAGUGAUACUUAUUUUAUUCUUACGACAGAGUCAGUGAAGUUCUUCAUAUUGGGUGUAUUUGUAAUGUUUGAAGAUCAAUAAUGGGCUCCAAUAAUUUCUUGAGGACCUGCCGGGAAAAAAGAAAUCUCGUAAGUUUUUGAGCAUUUAUUAUAUAUGGAUGCUUUGUCAAUAAAAAAAUGAAUGAAUGACCAAAGCUAUCUAUACCUUCCACAUUGUUUCAUGAGAACUAUCCUUAGAGACUGCGCCAAUUAUUGACUUAGUUAAAUCCGUGAGAAACUUUGGUGUAUCGAUGAGUCCAUAAGAAUGUAUUGGAUAGUUGAAUACAAUCUCCGUGGAAUGCUUUAAUGUUCAUAAAUCGAUAUAUCUAGUUAGAUAUGAAAGGUACAAACAAACGACACCAGAUAAUGACGAUGAGUGACUACGAUUAUACCAUCGAGGAUAAUACUUUGAGAAAAUUUGUCUUUCGUCAUCACUUUUUGGGGGCAAAUUUGCUCAGUGUCACCACUUUAUUUUUUAUUUGUAUUUUGUCACCAUUUCGUCUCAGCUUAGUCAAUUCUAACGGUCAACUCAACUUUGACUUGAUCAAACAGUUAUUGCACACCAACGACUUUAGGUUUUUUUUUUCUCUCUUUUUUCUCUUUGUUGUUGUUCUUCGUUUCGAUAUUCUUCAAUUUCAGAAUUUUUUAAGCUCGAUCUCAGUCAACAUAUAUUUGACUCAGUCAACUAACGAGGUUGAGACGGCAUGGUGACUAAACACAAAUAUUAAAAAAAGUGGUGAUAUUGUGCAAACAUACCCCAAAAGUGGUGACGUGUGUCUAAAAGUAUAUAAAACAAGCCACUUCAAGAAAAUAUACUUGCUUAAACUAUAAGGAAAUUCUUCUUUCUAAUGUAAUUAAUUAUUUAAAGUUCCACAUACCUAAUAACAAAUGUUUAUCAAUAAAUUUUUAUUUUAGUCAAGAAAAAUAAAAAAAAGUUCUACUGUCAAAUUCACUAAAUCAUCAAGACAUAGAACAAGUUUCUUUAAACUAUAAUUGAAGGAAAUUAUUGGGCAGAAAGCUUACCAAGGAUAUACAGUAAUUGGGAUCAGACCUGUGACCUUAAAGCCAUUGAACACAAAAUUACCAAACUCACACCAGCCUCCAUCAAUUUAGACUAGUCAAUUAGAAAAGAAAGAACAAUUCAUCGAACAUUUGAGAUCUAGAU